This 242-nucleotide ribosomal RNA is filed under the name Clostridioides difficile. Its description in RNAcentral is "partial 16S ribosomal RNA". It matches the Rfam family "Bacterial small subunit ribosomal RNA", at positions 62 to 313 of the family's 1533-position model. Lineage: Bacteria; Bacillati; Bacillota; Clostridia; Peptostreptococcales; Peptostreptococcaceae. The record is from RNAcentral.
UUGAGCGAUUUACUUCGGUAAAGAGCGGCGGACGGGUGAGUAACGCGUGGGUAACCUACCCUGUACACACGGAUAACAUACCGAAAGGUAUGCUAAUACGGGAUAAUAUAUUUGAGAGGCAUCUCUUAAAUAUCAAAGGGGAGCCAGUACAGGAGGGACCCGCGUCUGAUUAGCUAGUUGGUAAGGUAACGGCUUACCAAGGCGACGAUCAGUAGCCGACCUGAGAGGGUGAUCGGCCACAU